Molecule: ribosomal RNA, 492 nt
Filed under: uncultured bacterium
Lineage: Bacteria
Description: partial 16S ribosomal RNA
Rfam family: Bacterial small subunit ribosomal RNA
Source: RNAcentral
AGUGAACGCUGGCGGUAGGCCUAACACAUGCAAGUCGAACGGCAGCACAGUAAGAGCUUGCUCUUACGGGUGGCGAGUGGCGGACGGGUGAGGAAUACAUCGGAAUCUACUUUUUCGUGGGGGAUAACGUAGGGAAACUUACGCUAAUACCGCAUACGACCUACGGGUGAAAGCAGUGGAUCUUCGGACCUUGCGCGAUUGAAUUAGCCGAUGUCGGAUUAGCUAGUUGGCGGGGUAAAGGCCCACCAAGGCGACGAUCCGUAGCUGGUCUGAGAGGAUGAUCAGCCACACUGGAACUGAGACACGGUCCAGACUCCUACGGGAGGCAGCAGUGGGGAAUAUUGGGCAAUGGGCGCAAGCCUGAUCCAGCCAUACCGCGUGGGUGAAGAAGGCCUUCGGGUUGUAAAGCCCUUUUGUUGGGAAAGAAAAGCAGCAGAUUAAUACCCCGCUGUUCUGACGGUACCCAAAGAAUAAGCACCGGCUAACUUCGUG